RNA transcript from Bacillus rossius redtenbacheri, 4124 nucleotides. It is a transcript of the gene named E3 ubiquitin-protein ligase sina-like, with no coding region annotated. The record is from RefSeq and is a predicted model, not a curated record. The transcript is spliced from 4 exons. NCBI's taxonomy places the organism in Eukaryota, Metazoa, Arthropoda, Insecta, Phasmatodea, Bacillidae.
CUGCUCUGUUCACUCGUCAGCGCAAGUGGCGUGACCAUGUAAUUGGGGCACGGGGCCGGCGCGGCGCGCUGCGGGCUUGCAGAAUUUUGUUUGUUUGUUUGGCCGCGCGCUGGCGCAGCCACGGGCCGCAGUUACUGGGGCGCGCUGUCGUAACAAGCCGCGCGGUGUGGCCUGCACAUCGGGGUAGAGGGGGGGUAGUCUUCCCAGAUGUUCUAGUUAGUUGUUUAGUAAAUUUGACUUCAAUAACGAGCUUUUGUUAUGGUAGGCGCGGCAGGGCGCGCGAAUUUAAGCGCAAGUGAGUGGUGACUCGGGGCUCACUCAGGCGGAGGCUAUGCGUCUCACCUGUGGUCACGAGUUGUUAGUUCGUUCGUGAUGUAGGAAUUCAGGCUCACUCAGGCGGAGGCUAUGCGUCUCACCUGUGGUCACGAGUUGUUAGUUCGUUCGUGAUGUAGGAAUUCAAGCUUUCGGGCGGCAGCUAUGGUCGACGCCAGAGGCCACGAGUCGUUUAAUUUAAGUUAGGUCAUAAUGUAGUCGUCAAGCUUUCGGGCGGAGGCUAUGGCCCUCGUCAGGGGUCACGCGUCAUAGUUUUUAAAAUGUAAUGUUCGUUCGGGAUUUCAAGGGCAGGAGAGGCCCCUACGUUAUUUUUUUAAAGUAAUCGAUCAAGAAAGGCUUUUCGGAAAAUGAGGCAGGUACCUGAGCGAGCCUUCCAGCGAGUCUGACUGCGGCCCCGCACGGGCGCUGACGUGACGCAAGCCACCCGCAAGGGUCUGUCAGGUGCAAGAUGUCUUCCCUGGCCCUGAGCCAGAGCCUGCAGGCAACGCUCAGGUGUCCCUCGUGCGAUAACUACAUGAGGGCUCCCAUCAGGCAGUGCGCCAGCGGGCACAGCGUCUGCGGCCCGUGCGUGUCGGAGAAGCCGGACUGCCCCCGGUGCCGGCGCAGCUUCAUCGAGACGAGAAACUUCGGGCUCCAGGCGAUAGCGGAGAGAGUGAAGCUCCCGUGCCCCAACAGCUGCGAGGGGUGCGUAGUGACGUGCCUGCAAGCCGACCUGGGCGACCACCUCGGCAACUGUGUCUACACGAAACACAGAUGCAAGGUACAGGUUUGCAAGUGGACCGGGCGACUUUCUCUGUUGUUGGAACAUGUUCAGAAACUUCAUCGGAAGCGAAACUGUAAUUGAGAUACCAAAAUCCUGGGCGACAGGUGGGAUGUUUUCCUUCUGCAAGCUUUCGACCAGCUGUUUUGGGUGCACAUUAAGCUUGAAGGUCAUAAUGGCAAAAUCUUGGCUAGUGUGCAAGGUUUGACCCCAGAGUGUUACAUGUAUGAGAUGAAGCUAGAGAUUGAUAAAAAUGUGAGUAUAUUUAGCUCGGCGACAGAAACUGCCAAUGCAGACAUGAACAGUAUCUUCACAAAAGAAUUUUGCUUCAGCAUGUCGACAAGGCUAGCAAAGAAUUUCAUAGUUGAUGACUGUAUCAUUCUUCAGGUCAAGAUAACUGGACUGCAUCUAACCUAAAAGUAUUCAACAAAAUGACAGUGAGGUAUAUUAAAGUACUUAAUGGCAUCGAACAGCUGAGUCAGAAUGUUCGGUGGUCUACACACACACACUUCUUUUGAACAAUGUGAUUCAGAUGUAACGUCUCGUUUCUAUAUAUUGCUUCCUUCGUGUAAUGUAAUUUGUUAUUGCAAUUGGACAAUUUUUCUUUUACUUCAGUGCUUAAAAAUUAAAUAAAAUAUAUAGGUAAGCUAAUUUCCUGCUUAGCGCAGUGUAUUAGACCGGACUGUGCUGUUACUGUUUUCAUAAUGCACAGAAAGUUAUGACUUAUUUUAAUGAUACUAUUAUUUAUAAAGUCUUAUUAUUUUGAUUGUUAUUAUUAUGAAAUUUUAUUAUUUAAUUUGUAUAUUGUUCGCCCGCGAAAGUUAUUUAAAUAUAUUUUUAUUAAUUAUGUAUAUCUACGAGAGCUAUGCUCUAUGACCUGAAAUGGACUUAUAUGGACAGUCAAUUGAGUAUACCCCUCUAAGGACUAAUGAACUUAACGAAUUAACGAUGAUUUUAUUCGGGGUAUUACUUAAAAAAAUUUUCAUUGUUGGAAAUUUUCGUUUUAAAUUUACCGCAUUUUUGUGUUUUCAAUUGUAUUAAUGAGUGUUAUUUACGGUAUUUAUAUUGUAAAUUACGCUAACCGAUUUUGGUUUCGACCAAUGAGAGGCCGUGUUUUAGAUGUGAGGCGUCUAGAACGUCUUAAUUAAUAAGAGUUUGGUUGUAUGAAGGCGUCUGAUGCCGACGCAAAGGCGCGAGGCCUAUUUUAAAUUUGAAAUAUAGCUAGCUAGAUUAUGCCAUCCGACACUCAGGAUGAGCUUAAACGACGUAUAAAUAAAUAAUGUGUAAGAUUAUAAGGGCAUAUUCUGACGGAUAUGUUAUUAGGAGUGAAAAUCUGUAAGUAAAGAUCUUGCAUUUUGUAUCGCCCAUAGACAUACCCAGCUGUAUGUAAUUUCGUCGUAAAUAACUCCGAUUUGACUACAAACUGAUUAGUUUUCACGUAAAAGGUGUCAAUUAUCCUGAACUACGUCAUGAAUUGUUAGUUCCAAGAUUUAAAUUAUUAUUUUAUUUUGUGAUACCCAGAGGUGAAAUGGGAGUACAAGUUUCGUGUCUCUACCAUAUAAACUGAGUUAAGCCAAGGCAAAUACGAACCCAAAUAUAAACAUAAAUAGUAAUCAUACUAAUUAAUUGUGCUAUGAUUUCAAACAUUUUUCUGUUAUGUAAGAAUACGUCCGUAAAAAUAUCAUUUGAUUGAUUUUCUAAACUUACACUAACGAACUUUUGUGAACGAUUCAUGUGUGCUACGUAUUUUCCUGAUGUUUAAUUUACAUAAGCGCAUAUCCACGAGUCAUGUUCAGUAUCGUUAGGAUUGUUUUUCUGUGAUUUUUAUCUAAUUAUAUUAAUAUUGAUUUUUAUCUCUACACCUAUGUUAGUUGUCCCUGAUGAAUAGCAAUUUUAUUAUUAAUAAAAAUCUGGAUUCUAUCCCUAUGUAUUGAUAUAAGUUACCUAGCUACCUGUGUCCUAGAGUGUGUGUUUUAUGAUAUAUAACAUUUUAUGCAUGUUUCUAAGGGUAUAACAGUACCAUUGACAUAUAUAUAUAUAUAUGUAUAUAUAUAUUUUUUUUUUUUUGAAAAAAUAGUGACAGCCAGUGUAUAUCGUCCCGACAACACACACACAACAAAAGGGUCUAUUUAUAAAUCAACGAGUACUAUUAAUGGUACUGGCGCCAGCAGUAAGCAUACACCAACAAGUUUAGCAGCAGUACAGUAGAGGACAGAUAUGAUUACAGUUAAAGAUGAAAGGAAUUAUUGUUUAAUAAAAAUUUUGUUGGCCAUUGUCAGGUAUGUAAAAGAGAAUGUGCUUAUUGUUUGCACAAUCUCAUGUAGGGAAGUCAGCUGCCCAUACAUAAACUUAUUCAAAGUUAUAAUAAAUCCAAUAGUGUUAUUUGGAUAGGCCAGCAUCCAAACUUAAGAAUCUGUUGUCAAUAUAAAAGUUUGUAUUUUCAUAAGAUAGGGUAGAUUAUGCAAUAAUCCGCUUAAGACACAAUUUUUAUAAUAAAAUUUUGUACAACAUACUUUUAUUAAUGAACUCGAAUACUACAAAUUGUCACUUUGUAAUUAAUGUUCUUGCAGAUCAUAAUAAAUUCUAUGUUGUUUUAUUGGAGCUACCGAUGUUGAAUUGUGAUGGUGUAGUGUCGACACAUGUAUUGCUUUAUUUAAUUAUGAAAAUAUUAAAUUUGGGAGCAUUGCUGUAUAUCAUCAUCCUUAUGUGAAUGAACUCAAAGUAAAUGGAAAUAAUUAUAUUUUUCCACACACUGUCCAGAAUCAAUGCAAACAAAAUAAUAAAGAUUUUGAAGUUAUAUUUGUAUGAAAACAGUGUUACACAGCAUCAUAGUAAUAAUAAAAGUAACCCUUCAAGAAGUACACAGAGCAGGGAAGAAACUCUACAAGCCACUACAGGAUUCUCAGUGUUUCUGAUGUAAAUCCAAUGGUGAGAAAUUGUCCUACAAAUGAAACUGAAAUUUUAAGGCAUUUGUCAUAUUCUAGUGUUCACUGUUUUGAACCUGUUAACUAAAUAAAACAUAGGUAGAAAC